GAUGAACGCUGGCGGCGUGCCUAAUACAUGCAAGUCGAGCGAACAGACGAGGAGCUUGCUCCUCUGACGUUAGCGGCGGACGGGUGAGUAACACGUGGAUAACCUACCUAUAAGACUGGGAUAACUUCGGGAAACCGGAGCUAAUACCGGAUAAUAUAUUGAACCGCAUGGUUCAAUAGUGAAAGACGGUUUUGCUGUCACUUAUAGAUGGAUCCGCGCCGCAUUAGCUAGUUGGUAAGGUAACGGCUUACCAAGGCAACGAUGCGUAGCCGACCUGAGAGGGGGAUCGGCCACACUGGAACUGGGCCACGGUCCAGACUCCUACGGGAGGCAGCAGUAGGGAAUCUUCCGCAAUGGGCGAAAGCCUGACGGAGCAACGCCGCGUGAGUGAUGAAGGUCUUCGGAUCGUAAAACUCUGUUAUUAGGGAAGAACAAAUGUGUAAGUAACUAUGCACGUCUUGACGGUACCUAAUCAGAAAGCCACGGCUAACUACGUG
Molecule: ribosomal RNA, 497 nt
Filed under: uncultured bacterium
Lineage: Bacteria
Description: partial 16S ribosomal RNA
Rfam family: Bacterial small subunit ribosomal RNA
Source: RNAcentral